UACGUAGGGUGCAAGCGUUGUCCGGAAUUAUUGGGCGUAAAGAGCUCGUAGGCGGUUUGUCGCGUCUGCUGUGAAAACUCGGGGCUUAACCCCGGGCCUGCAGUGGGUACGGGCAGACUAGAGUGUGGUAGGGGAGACUGGAAUUCCUGGUGUAGCGGUGAAAUGCGCAGAUAUCAGGAGGAACACCGAUGGCGAAGGCAGGUCUCUGGGCCAUAACUGACGCUGAGAAGCGAAAGCAUGGGGAGCGAACAGG
Molecule: ribosomal RNA, 253 nt
Filed under: uncultured bacterium
Lineage: Bacteria
Description: partial 16S ribosomal RNA
Rfam family: Bacterial small subunit ribosomal RNA
Source: RNAcentral